AUAUCGAACGUGCCUAGUAAUGGGAAGUAACUAGCUGAAAGGUUAGCUAAUGCCGCAUACGACCUACGGUGAAAGCAGGGAGUCUUCGGACCUUGCGUUAUUAGAGCGGCCGAUAUCUGAUUAGCUUGUUGGUGGGGUAAUGGCCUACCAAGGCGACGAUCAGUAGCUGGUCUGAGAGGACGAUCAGCCACACUGGAACUGAGACACGGUCCAGACUCCUACGGGAGGCAGCAGUGGGGAAUUUUGGACAAUGGGGGCAACCCUGAUGCAGCCAUGCCGCGUGUGUGAAGAAGGCUCUAG
Molecule: ribosomal RNA, 300 nt
Filed under: uncultured beta proteobacterium
Lineage: Bacteria; Pseudomonadati; Pseudomonadota; Betaproteobacteria
Description: bacterial SSU rRNA
Rfam family: Bacterial small subunit ribosomal RNA
Source: RNAcentral